Molecule: long non-coding RNA, 568 nt
Filed under: Homo sapiens (human)
Lineage: Eukaryota; Metazoa; Chordata; Mammalia; Primates; Hominidae
Description: non-protein coding lnc-SMIM33-3:1
Source: RNAcentral
GGGCCUACGGUACAGGGUGAGCAGGGCCUGAAUCGUGACCCUGACCUGGACCUGACCUGAAUUGCAACCCUAACCCGACUGCAACCCUGACCACGACCCCAGUGGAUUUUAUAGAGAGGAAGUCAGACAGGGAGGGAGAAGAAUAGGAUUUGAUGUCAUCGUGUUGUUUGGCAUCCAGGGGCCUUUAUUUAGAGUUGGGUUAGAGCCUCCACCUGGAAAAUGUGGAUGCCAAGUUGGGCAUUAUGUGGUUAACCUGACUUAUUUUGAGCAGUUGGCGCUCCCUAUCUUGAGGAAUGCAGAUUCCAGCAGUGACCCAGGGCAGAGAGUGUGUGUCACUGAUGAGAGUGGGAAAAUGAAACUCUUUAGUUAGCCUUUCAUCCAAUCUGUUUGUCAGAUGCUAUCUACCCCAGGGACUAUAAUCGCUGGCACAAUCCCAGUCCCUAAAGGAAAGUCACUGGCCCUUGUAGAAGAAAUCAGAAACAGAAAUGAUGUGAAAGUGUUUAAUGUCUCCAAGGAAGACAGAAACCACCUUCUGCAAGAUAUUGUGAUGUGUGUGCAGAGCAGCAGG